This 278-nucleotide ribosomal RNA is filed under the name uncultured Oscillospiraceae bacterium. RNAcentral describes it as "partial 16S ribosomal RNA". It matches the Rfam family "Bacterial small subunit ribosomal RNA", at positions 511 to 788 of the family's 1533-position model. The record is from RNAcentral. Lineage: Bacteria; Bacillati; Bacillota; Clostridia; Eubacteriales; Oscillospiraceae.
GCCGCCGCGGUAAUACGUAGGUGGCAAGCGUUGUCCGGAUUUACUGGGUGUAAAGGGUGCGCAGGCGGGACUGCAAGUUGGAUGUGAAAUACCGGAGCUCAACUCCGGAACUGCAUCCAAAACUGUAGUUCUUGAGUGGAGUAGAGGUAAGCGGAAUUCCGAGUGUAGCGGUGAAAUGCGUAGAUAUUCGGAGGAACACCAGUGGCGAAGGCGGCUUACUGGGCUCUAACUGACGCUGAGGCACGAAAGUGUGGGUAGCAAACAGGAUUAGAUACCCC